UUAAAAUGAGAAAAAAAUAAUGUUAAUUAAAUAUGUUGGUUAGAUGUAUUACAAGUUCCUCGGUUGUUUGUGGGUCAUUUGGAAGCAUCGUUUAUUGAGCGUCUUAUUAUGAUGGAAAUCUAUACAUCGCAGCAACGUAUUAACUAUGACGGUACAAUGUCAUUCAAGUAACUCACUUGAUCGCUGGUCAUUUUGAAGCAUCGUCUAAUGAGCGUCUGGAUGUCUUUACUUUACACACACUGUUGAUGUGAUGGACAGUGAAUCUGAAUUCUGCCAAGCAACAUAUUCGCGCCACAGUAGAUAAAGGAACAAAAAAAGUUGCCACAGUCUACGAAGAGUUAGGAUGGAGACUGCCUUGUUGCUGCUGUCAAACCCCAUGACGUCAAUGUCGGAGGGGGGGUAUGUCGGAAUGGAUGGCGGAACCCGAGGAAGAGGCACUAAUGAUUCCAGAAAAGAGCCAAAGAAGAAGACCUACACAGACUUCGAAAUGGAUAUUCAACGGGGAAAUGUGGAUAGCUGCCAUAUUCCCAGUCAUUACUUUGCCAAAUCAUCUGGGAUAGUGAUAUCCUCGGCGACAAGAGGAAGGCCAGCGCUGACGACGGACCAACUAAGAAGAAGAUGAGCCAGAAGGAAACCACAGUCGCCUCCCAAAGAGACUGCCAGGGUUUCUUACGGAUGUGUUUGACCGAAGAACCCCUGCAGCUUCAACUUCACCCAUGGCUCAGAUAAAGCACCCACACACACACACACACACACACACACACACACACACACACACACACUUCCUGUACCAACAAAGUAGAGAUGUUUUGAUACCAUUAUUUCUUUAACAAAUCAAAGCCCGAUAUCACAAAUCUGCCUCAGUGAGUGAGCAGUGAAUGGCGAGAACUCCUUUUACCGAUUAAGUGAAUUCGUUUGUGUAUCCGCCCCCCCCAAUUUUCAUAGAAAUCUAGUUUUUCUGUUAUCGUGCUGACAAACAAACAGACAAACCCAAUCUCCUUGGCGGAGGUAAGGAAAAACAACUGUUUUAAAAACUUUUAAAAAGUCGCCACUGGCUGGUUUUAACAUGUAAGAGACGUCACAUCUUUCAACAGCUAAUCAACUCAUAGCGGAGUCAGCCGGUCAAGCCAAAAAUGCAGUGUGCAUUUUCCCAGACGAAAACUCCUUUCUCCAAGUAAGUGAAUUAAUUUGUGUGACAACCCCGUGAUUUAGAUCUGAUUCUUCCUUGACCCAAAUGGACUAACAACCUCCUUGGCAGAGGUUUUCUUUAAAAACAGUUUGAGUCAAGUCGCUAGUGGCUGGCUUUAAAACAUAAAAGGAUGUCACCUGUUUCAACAGCUAAACAACUCGUAGCGAAGUCGGUGUUGGAGUGGAGAGAGCGAGUUGGAUAAUAAAUGUGUGAGUGUUGUCGUUGUGUCAUUUUAAGAUGCCUCAAAUUACAACCAGCUACGAUUAAAAAAAAAGCCUGAAAUGUUUUCCGAACGUUACAGACCAACGUGUUUCCAAGUUUCAACUCUUCUCGACAAGACUUUUCUGGGCUGAAUCACGGGAUUACGGGAUGUCGGAUCGGUUUAUUUUAGGGCGUGUCAGGUGAUCUGAGAUACUGGUAUCAGAACAUCUCUACAAAGUGUGAUGUGUGUGAAUACAAAUGUCUGUCUGUCUGUCUCUCCGUCUGUCUCUCUUCUCUCCGUCGCUCUCUCUGUUUCUCUCUCUGCCUCACUUGGACGUGUUGGACUCGUCUGCACCCCCAGCCAUCCGUGGAGAGGGGAGCUUGGGCUCGGUUUCACAGGAAAUGUAUGUGCAGUUUUUAUUACUUUACAUCAAACAUCUUAUUCCUCUUUUAUUAAGAAUUUAUUAAGACAUCUUUUUUCAAAGACGUCUUAGAAAAAAAACUCAAAAAUGCGACAAAAACGUCCAAAUAGGCAACAAAAACUUUUAAAAAAGUAAACAAAUUGUCCAAAAAAGUCAGUGGAGUUAUAAAACAUUUUAGACUUAAAAUGUUUGCUUAUUCCUCUUUUAUUAAGAAGACGUCUUAGUGAAAAGAUCAUUUUAAUUGGGACUAUAUGAGGGUUCUGAAUGUUUGAUUUUACAUAGAAUUGAUUUCCCCACAGCUAUAAAAACUCUGCACAGACUAAAGCACGUUGAAUGUUUAUAGUGUUUAUGGGGGAUGAUUCAUUAUUGUCAUGUAGAAUGUAUGAAUGAAUGUGUUUUUAACUUGCAGCACAUUACAGGAGCAGCACUACGAAUUCCGUUGUACGUUUUGAAUGAUACAAUGACAAUAAAGGCAUGCUAUUCUGUUUUAUAAAUCAGUGGUUCUCAACUUGCACCUCAUGCCAACUACUAUAAUUAUGAUGAAUCAUAUUCCUCUA
Molecule: long non-coding RNA, 2369 nt
Organism: Perca flavescens (yellow perch)
Lineage: Eukaryota; Metazoa; Chordata; Actinopteri; Perciformes; Percidae
Exons: 5
Source: RefSeq, a predicted model, not a curated record